AUUGGACAAUGGGGGCAAACCUGAUCCAACCAUGCCGCGUGAGUGAAGAAGGCCCUCGGGUUGUAAAGCUCUUUUGUCCGGAAAGAAAAGCAUUCGGUGAAUACCCGGAUGUUCUGACGGUACUGGAAGUAUAAGCACCGGCUAACUUCGUGCCAGCAGCCGCGGUAAUACGAAGGGUGCAAGCGUUACUCGGGAUUCAUGGGCGUAAAGCGUGUGUAGGUGGUUGUUUAAGUCUGAUGUGAAAGCCCUGGGCUCAACCUGGGAAUGGCAUUGGAAACUGGGCAGCUAGAGUGCGGUAGAGGGUAGUGGAAUUCCCGGUGUAGCAGUGAAAUGCGUAGAGAUCGGGAGGAACAGCUGUGGCGAAGGCGACUGCCUGGACCAGCACUGACACUGAGGCACGAAAGCGUGGGGAGCAAAC
Molecule: ribosomal RNA, 418 nt
Filed under: uncultured bacterium
Lineage: Bacteria
Description: bacterial SSU rRNA
Rfam family: Bacterial small subunit ribosomal RNA
Source: RNAcentral